GAUGAAGAAUGUAGCGAAAUGCGAUAAGUGAUGUGAAUUGCAGAAUUCAGUGAAUCAUCGAAUCUUUGAACGCACAUUGCGCCCGCCAGUAUUCUGGCGGGCAUGCCUGUCUGAGCGUCAUUUCAACCCUCAUGCCCCUAGGGCGUGGUGUUGGGGAUCGGCCAAAGCCCGCGAGGGACGGCCGGCCCCUAAAUCUAGUGGCGGACCCGUCGUGGCCUCCUCUGCGAAGUAGUGAUAUUCCGCAUCGGAGAGCGAUGAGCCCCUGCCGUUAAACCCCCAACUUUCCAAGGUUGACCUCAGAUCAGGUAGGAAUACCCGCUGAACUUAAGCAUAUCAAUAAGCGGAGGA
RNAcentral lists this unclassified non-coding RNA (348 nucleotides) under soil metagenome. RNAcentral's name for it is "partial contains 5.8S ribosomal RNA, internal transcribed spacer 2, and large subunit ribosomal RNA". The stretch from base 1 to 120 matches the Rfam family "5.8S ribosomal RNA", at positions 35 to 154 of the family's 154-position model. The record is from RNAcentral.